GGAAACUUUCGACUGGAUAAAUUGUAUAGCCAUAUUUGUUUGUUUUUGCUAGCUCAAUGCACGUUCCCAAUGGUAGUACCCCAAUGCCCCCAUGUGAGCACUCUUCCUCAGACGAUUCGUAAGACCUUAAGCCAGUCGCUCUUUAAGCCGUAUUUAUGCACAGCUUUUGGUCCAUGUUUAGCUUUCAUUUCCCUUUCUUUUUUAAAUACCCUUGCAGGGAGUACUGUGACUUUUAGGCUUAUAAAGUCUCUGACAUCAGUCCAACAAAAGUUGGCUGUGGAAAAGUGCCCAAUUCGUAGCAUAAUACAAAAAUCUUUGUAACAUUUUUGAACUGUCACUAGUCAAUAUGGCAAAAUGUAAAAAAUGUAAGAAAACUAAAGCUUAUAAAAGAAGGCUACAAAAUUACUCGAGUAAUACGCAAAAAGCUCUCGGUUUGACCAAUAAUGGAUUUUGGAACUUCUUGCGGGAGUUCAGAAGGAAGCAUUACAGGCUGCCGCCAAAAACUUUGAUCCCACAUGGCACCAGGGCUUGGUGUAAGCUCACAAGCAAACAGAAGGAAAAGUAUACCAAAAUGGUAAUAAAGAUUAUAUUUUGUUAUAUUUUGUACUUAUCUUUCAAUUAUAUUCAACAGAAACGGGCCGCGUGGGAACAAGAUCUUUCGUUACUGUGUUUAUGGCAGAUUUUUAAACCCAAACCCCUUACCGUGGCCUCACUUGAUCCAUAUCAAAGCAGCAAAAUAACCAAACAAAUACUUCUUUAAUAUUUUGUGUAUGUCAAAUUUCAAAAUCUGUAAUAGCAUUCAAAUUUCCCCAUCUGAUUAUGUGCCGCCAGUGUUUCUAAUGCAACGACAGUCGAAAAUAAAUUUCAUUUCCUA
Molecule: long non-coding RNA, 874 nt
Filed under: Drosophila guanche
Lineage: Eukaryota; Metazoa; Arthropoda; Insecta; Diptera; Drosophilidae
Source: RNAcentral